UGCAGGGAGGACGCCAUGUGCAACCGUGGGCAGAGGCCGGGCUGAUGGGUCUACAAGCCCAGGAAAGUCCGAGAUUGCCAGCAAAACACCAGAAGCUGGGGGGAGGCAUGGAGUGGGUUCUUAGAAGGAACCCACCCUGCAACACCUACAUCUCAGACUUCAGCCUCUGAAACUGUGAGACAUAAAAUUUUCGUGCUUUAACCCACCCAGUUUGUAGAAUUUGUUACACAGCCAUGGCAAACAAAUGCACCCAAUGUCUAAAAGUCCUUUGAUUAACGACUCACAGUUAUCCUUUGAAAAUUCCCAGAAUAAAAUGCAAAUGUCAAGACUCACAGGAGUCAAGAUUCAAACCUUUUGUGUAUUUUAAGCAUCCACAUUUCACUCUUUUUGUUAAAAUAAGAAGAACCAUUCCAGGUCCAACUGUCUUCUGCAGACCUUCUGUGUGGAAUCUUUUCCUGGAGUUGGAAUAGCAGACUUGGGGAUGGUGCUGUGGGUUUGUUUGGUUUAUUGUUGAAAUCCCAAGAAAGAACUUUCAUUUGCAGCUGACUUGGCUGAGCCGGUGGACAAGAUUUCAGGAAGGAACUAAGCUCUGAGCUUUACUGAUAGGCUGGUAUGGAAAACCUUUCUGGACUCCUUAAAUAUAUCCUUCAAGAUUUUGACAUUUCUCUGAUUGGAACUGACAAAUAGAUCUUGGUAGGCCAAAGGUUCCACCCUUCACUCUAAAGCUAAGUUGGAAUCUCACUCUGUUGCCCAGGCUGGAGUACAAUGGCAC
This 772-nucleotide long non-coding RNA is filed under the name Homo sapiens (human). RNAcentral describes it as "HSALNT0400034". The record is from RNAcentral. Lineage: Eukaryota; Metazoa; Chordata; Mammalia; Primates; Hominidae.